Long non-coding RNA from Anser brachyrhynchus (Pink-footed goose), 1824 nucleotides. The record is from Ensembl. Lineage: Eukaryota; Metazoa; Chordata; Aves; Anseriformes; Anatidae.
CCUACGUACUCCAGCACCGUCCUUGGCGCUCUAGAAAGGUCUCUGCCGCGCGCACCGCGGGCGCAGGCACGGCCACGCUCGCCCGCCGCCCUCGCACGGGCACCCAGCGCGGCGCCGGCCCCCGCUCGGGGUGGGAGCCCCGCGGGGACGAGGGGUGCCUGGGGCCGGCGGUGCUGGGGUCCCCCCCCCUUCUGGAUCUGGGGACAGGAGGUGGAGGGGUGGCAGGGCAGGACGCGGCCCCUGCGCCCGUCAGGGCUGGGGAUCCCCGCGUGGCCGCCCACGCCCGGCGAGGGCACCCUCGUGUCCCCAGCAGCGGCUGCGGAGGUGGCCGAGCCCCGGCUGCUGCAGCGAGGCUGCGACGCCCACGGGUGCAGGGAUGGCACCCAGAGAAGUGUCACCUUCCUCUGUCACCCUGCUCGUCGGGGACGGGGACAGAGCCGGGAUGGGGCUGGAGCCAGGGCUGUGGAACGGAGACGGGGCUGGGGACGGAGCUGGGGCACCGACAUGGAGGUGACGGCGAUGCCGGCGGUGAUGCCGGUGGAGAUGGCGACGGCGUGCACGCGCUGCUGGCUGGGGACAGUGACACCAAGCUCCGCUUCGGCGUGACACCAGGCCACACCGCGCACGGCUCCAGGAGCGUUUCCCCGGCCGCCCCCCCCGGUUUCCCACCCUCGCAGCAGCCCCAGCAGCUCCCACGGUGGCACCGGGGCCGUCAGCGUGCUGCAGCGCCUCGACGGUGCGGCCCUCCGCCGGGAGCCACCGAAGGGACCGGUGUGUGCCUGCAGAACUCUGUGACCCCCCCCCAGCACCGCUCCAAAUUGCCACCAGACCCUCACCCCCGGGCACGGAGCUGCCGCUCGACCCCGCUGCUCGUCGGCAGCCUCACCACGACCACGGCCACGGCCACGGCACACGGAUGGCCCCGUUCAGCCCAAGGCCCUGCCGCGCUCGGCUGCGCCGCGGAGAAGGGGACGGUUUUGGGAGCAGCGUUGGUGAUGCCGGGGGGUUCCCAGCCACCCCCCUCGGUCCCUGCGUGCAGCGGCUCCGGGCUGAUGGAGGUGACCUGGGGCCAGCUCCCGGCCCGGCCCCUGCCUGCAGCCGCGGCUGAGCCUCUGCCACCGGCAAAGCCCCGCCGGGGGGCACCCGGGGCUUCCCUGCCUGCAGCCCUGGGCCCUCGGCUCCCAUCUGCCAUGUCCCCACCGCUCUGUGCCGUGUCCCCACCGCUCUGUGCCGUGUCACCAUCAUGCCUCUGCCGCAUCCCCGUCAGCCUGUGCCAUGUCUCCAUCCGUCCGCGCUGCGUCCCCACCGGCCCAUGCCGUGUGGCACCGGUGCGUGCCACGUCCCUGCUGGGGUGUGCCAUGUCCCCGUCAGUCUGCGCCGUGUCCCCAUCGUGUCUCUGCUGCAUCCCCGUCAUCCGGGGCCGUGCCCCCAGUGCUCUGUGCCGUGUCCCCAUCGUCCUGUGCCAUGUCCCUGUCCAUCUGUGCCAUGGCCCCGUCACGUCUCUGCCACAUCCCCAUCACCCUGUGCCACGUCCCCCUUGCCCUGUGCUGUGUCCCCACCACCCUGUGCCACGUCCCCGCCACUCCGUGUCACAUCCCCAUGCGUCCCCUGCACCCGACACCAGCAGCGGACCCAGGAUUUCUCUCUGGGCACUGGCGCACCCAGUGCCCAGGGUGCUGCCAGGCCCCCCCUGCCCUGCCUGCCCCCCCCACCCCCACCCCGGGCACGUUGCACACCCAGGGCUUGUGCGUGUGCAGGCCCAGGUGUCCCCGUGCCCCCUGCCACCCCACAGCAGGGGACACCCAGGGCCGCUGGGGACCUCGG